CCAGGGAGCAAAUCAGGGGCAAAUAGCC
This 28-nucleotide non-coding RNA is filed under the name Homo sapiens (human). Lineage: Eukaryota; Metazoa; Chordata; Mammalia; Primates; Hominidae. The record is from RNAcentral.